ACGAAGGUCCCAAGCGUUGUUCGGAAUCACUGGGCGUAAAGGGUGCGUAGGCGGUUUGGUAAGUCAGAUGUGAAAUCCCGGGGCUCAACCCCGGAACUGCAUCCGAUACUGCCAGACUUGAGGACUGGAGAGGUGACUGGAAUUCUCGGUGUAGCAGUGAAAUGCGUGGAUAUCGAGAGGAACACCAGUGGCGAAGGCGGCAUCCUGGACCGGCAUUGACGCUGAGGAGCGAAAGCCAGGGGAGCAAACGGGA
This 253-nucleotide ribosomal RNA is filed under the name uncultured prokaryote. Its description in RNAcentral is "partial 16S ribosomal RNA". It matches the Rfam family "Bacterial small subunit ribosomal RNA", at positions 525 to 777 of the family's 1533-position model. The record is from RNAcentral.